RNAcentral lists this ribosomal RNA (458 nucleotides) under uncultured bacterium. Its description in RNAcentral is "bacterial SSU rRNA". It matches the Rfam family "Bacterial small subunit ribosomal RNA", at positions 28 to 507 of the family's 1533-position model. The record is from RNAcentral.
GAUGAACGCUGGCGGCGUGCUUGAUACAUGCAAGUCGAACGGAGAGUGUAGCAAUAUACUCUUAGUGGCGAACGGGUGAGUAACGCGUUGGUGACCUGCCCCGAAGCGAGGGAUAACAGUUCGAAAGAACUGCUAAUACCUCAUAUGAUCACCGGUUUUAGAAUCUGGUGAUUAAAGGUGAAAAUCACUUCGGGAGGGGCCUGCGUCCCAUCAGCUAGUUGGUAAGGUAAUGGCUUACCAAGGCGAUGACGGGUAGGGGACCUGAGAGGGUGGCCCCCACAAUGGAACUGAAACACGGUCCAUACACCUACGGGUGGCAGCAGUAGGGAAUAUUGCAAAUGGGCGAAAGCCUGAUGUAGCAACGCCGCGUGUGCGAUGAAGGUCUUCGGAUUGUAAAGCACUUUUUGGAGGGAUGAGGAAGGACAGUACCUCCAGAAUAAGCCUCGGCUAACUACGUG